UUUAAAUUUCUACUCCUAAAUUUAAUCUUAAUCCAACAUCGAGGUCGCAAUCUUCUUUAUCGAUAUGAACUCUCCAAAAAAAUUACGCUGUUAUCCCUAAAGUAACUUAUUCUUUUAAUCUAUAUGAUAAGAUCACUAAUUCAUAAAUCAAUGAUAUUAUAAAAUAAAAGUUAAUUUAAUUUUAAUAUCACCCCAAUAAAAAUAUUAUAUAUAAAUAUAAAUUUAAAUUUACUAUAAUUAUUAUAUAUAAUAAUAUAUAAAGAUUUAUAGGGUCUUCUCGUCUUUUAAAUUUAUUUUAGCUUUUUUACUAAAAAAUAAAAUUUUACUAUAAUUUUAUAUAAAACAGUUAAUGUUACGUCCAACCAUUCAUUCCAGCCUUCAAUUAAAAGACUAAUUAUUAUGCUACCUUUGCACAGUCAAUAUACUGCGGCCAUUUAAAAUUCAGUGGGCAGGCUAGACUUUAAAUUAAACCUCAAAAAGACAUGUUUUU
Molecule: ribosomal RNA, 490 nt
Filed under: Megastrebla parvior parvior
Lineage: Eukaryota; Metazoa; Arthropoda; Insecta; Diptera; Streblidae
Description: partial 16S ribosomal RNA
Source: RNAcentral